GCACUUUAUCUUGACCUUGUCAAUAAUUGUCUCAAUGAGUGUUUUCCAUCAAUAAAUACCUUUUUUCAAUGCACCCUGAAUUCCCUCCCCUUUUUCUUUCAGUGCUGGAACACCUGUUAAAUCUGAUAAUUUAAACUGUAAUUGCCUUGUAUUCAUCACAUCUCCACAGUUCCUCCCAAGACUUCAUCCUCAGCUUCCAGGAAAACAACACUCAACAAAAAGAAACCUCAUGCUAUCUGGCCAGACUUUAGUGGAUUCUAUUUUCUUGGUUCUCCCUCUCCCUGAGGACCUCUUAUUUUAUUGUCCCUUCUUCUAGAUCAAUUCUCCUUUGGUUUGGAUGUCUUGAGGUUUGUUGAGAAGGAGCUUGGAGAGUAGAUUAGCAAAGUUCCAAGAGGGAAAUUACAGUGUGUUUGAGCGUGAGGGGAAAAUUAGUCUUAUUUUUCCCUACAUGGGAUACAACACUGUGAAAUUCAAUCUUCAAUUGAAAGCCCUGCAAUUCUCCUAAAACAUAGUUCUUUGUUUUUCUUUAACAAAGUUUAAGCUAGUGUUAAUAAAUUAAAAAGAGAAAUUGCUUGUCUGUCUACUUCAGCUUUGUUUUGUGCUCAUUUCAUAUUGUUGUCUGUGUUGUAAUUCAUACUUUUGAUACCAUUUCUGAUGUGUAAAAUUGGUUGUCUUGUAAAUAUCUUAUAAAGAGUUCAAUUGUAAAUAAACUAUUGUGGCUGUUAA
Microcebus murinus (gray mouse lemur) is the source of this 726-nucleotide non-coding RNA. The record is from RefSeq and is a predicted model, not a curated record. Lineage: Eukaryota; Metazoa; Chordata; Mammalia; Primates; Cheirogaleidae.